CCCUUAGAUGUCCGGGGCUGCACGCGCGCUACACUGAAGGAUUCAGCGUGCUAAAACCAUUGUCGAAAGGCAUUGGUAAACCCAUUAAAAUCCUACGUGAUUGGGAUCGGGAAUUGCAAUUAUUUCCCUUGAACGAGGAAUUCCCAGUAAGUGUGGGUCAUAAGCUCGCGUUGAUUACGUCCCUGCCCUUUGUACACACCGCCCGUCGCUGCCCGGGACUGAGCCGUUUCGAGAAAAGCGGGGACUGCUGCUGUCGGGGCUUUCGGGCCUUGGCUUCGGUGGAAACCGCUUUAAUCGCAGUGGCUUGAACCGGGCAAAAGUCGUAACA
This 328-nucleotide ribosomal RNA is filed under the name uncultured eukaryote. RNAcentral's name for it is "partial 18S ribosomal RNA". It matches the Rfam family "Eukaryotic small subunit ribosomal RNA", at positions 1470 to 1796 of the family's 1831-position model. The record is from RNAcentral.